AGGAUGAACGCUGGCGGCGUGCCUAACACAUGCAAGUCGAACGUCCUGUCUCGCAAGAGGCAGGGAGUGGCGGACGGGUGAGUACCACGUGGGUCAUCUACCGUGAGGUGAGGAAUACCGGCGAGAAAUCGCCGACAAGACCGCAUAGGCUCGAUGCAAGUCGAGCAAAGCUCUUUCGAGAGAGGGAGCGCCACACGAGGAGCCUGCGCCCGAUUAGCUAGCUGGUGGAGUAACGGUUCACCAGGGCGACGAUCGGUGGCUGGUCUGAGAGGACGAUCAGCCACACUGGGAUUGAGAACGGCCCAGACUCCUACGGGGGGCAGCAGUGAGGAAUUUUCGUCAAUGGGGGCAACCCUGAACGAGCAACGCCGCGUGCAGGAAGAAGGUUUUCGGAUCGUAAACUGCUUUUCUCGGGGAAGAGAAUGGACGGUACCCGAGGAAUCAGCCCCGGCUAACUACGUGCCAGCAGCCGC
This 473-nucleotide ribosomal RNA is filed under the name uncultured bacterium. Its description in RNAcentral is "SSU rRNA". It matches the Rfam family "Bacterial small subunit ribosomal RNA", at positions 26 to 518 of the family's 1533-position model. The record is from RNAcentral.